Molecule: ribosomal RNA, 253 nt
Filed under: uncultured bacterium
Lineage: Bacteria
Description: partial 16S ribosomal RNA
Rfam family: Bacterial small subunit ribosomal RNA
Source: RNAcentral
AACGUAGGACGCAAGCGUUAUCCGGAGUUAUUGGGCGUAAAGCGCGUGUAGGCGGCCAGGUAGGUCGGCUGUGAAAACUCGAGGCUCAACCUCGAGCUGUCGGCCGAAACCAUCUGGCUAGAGUCCGGAAGAGGAGAGUGGAAUUCCAGGUGUAGCGGUGAAAUGCGUAGAUAUCUGGAAGAACACCGGUGGCGCAAGCGGAUUGCUGGGCCAUAACUGACACUGAGGAACGAAAGCUAGGGGAGCAAAUGGG